RNAcentral lists this ribosomal RNA (305 nucleotides) under uncultured bacterium. RNAcentral's name for it is "bacterial SSU rRNA". It matches the Rfam family "Bacterial small subunit ribosomal RNA", at positions 337 to 656 of the family's 1533-position model. The record is from RNAcentral.
CCCUACGGGGCGCAGCAGUGGGGGAUAUUGGACAAUGGGGGAAACCCUGAUCCAGCGACGCCGCGUGAGUGAAGAAGUAUUUCGGUAUGUAAAGCUCUAUCAGCAGGGAAGAAAGAAAUGACGGUACCUGAGUAAGAAGCCCCGGCUAACUACGUGCCAGCAGCCGCGGUAAUACGUAGGGGGCAAGCGUUAUCCGGAUUUACUGGGUGUAAGGGGAGCGUAGACGGCGGAACAAGUCAGAAGUGAAAACCCGGGGCUCAACCCUGGGAGUGCUUUUGAAACUGUUUGGCUGGAGUGCAGGAGAG